UACAGAGGGUGCAAGCGUUGUUCGGAAUUAUUGGGCGUAAAGAGCGUGUAGGCGGCUAGGUAGGUCCGUUGUGAAAACUCGAGGCUCAACCUCGAGACGUCGAUGGAAACCAUCUAGCUAGAGUCCGGAAGAGGGUCUCGGAAUUCCCGGUGUAGAGGUGAAAUGCGUAGAUAUCAGGAGGAACACCGGUGGCGAAGGCGGGUCUCUGGGCCGAUACUGACGCUGAGGAGCGAAAGCGUGGGGAGCGAACAGG
RNAcentral lists this ribosomal RNA (253 nucleotides) under uncultured bacterium. Its description in RNAcentral is "partial 16S ribosomal RNA". It matches the Rfam family "Bacterial small subunit ribosomal RNA", at positions 524 to 776 of the family's 1533-position model. The record is from RNAcentral.